UACGAGGGGUGCAAGCGUUGCUCGGAAUUAUUGGGCGUAAAGGGUAGGUAGGUGGUCUCAUUUGUCUGGGGUGAAAUCCUUGGGCUUAACCCAAGAAGUGCCCUGGAAACGGUGGGACUAGAAUCUCCGAGAGGGUCGUGGAAUUCCCGGUGUAGCGGUGAAAUGCGUAGAGAUCGGGAGGAACGCCGAAGGUGAAAACAGCUCGCUGGGGCUGCGCUGACGCUGAGACACGAAAGCCAGGGGAGCAAACGGG
Molecule: ribosomal RNA, 253 nt
Filed under: uncultured bacterium
Lineage: Bacteria
Description: partial 16S ribosomal RNA
Rfam family: Bacterial small subunit ribosomal RNA
Source: RNAcentral